Molecule: ribosomal RNA, 256 nt
Filed under: uncultured Basidiomycota
Lineage: Eukaryota; Fungi; Basidiomycota
Description: partial 18S ribosomal RNA
Rfam family: Eukaryotic small subunit ribosomal RNA
Source: RNAcentral
AAGCUCGUAGUUGAAUUUCGAAUGUGGCUGGGCGGUCCGCCUCACGGUGUGUACUGUCUGCUGUGUUCUCCUUCUUGGUGAGCCGGCAUGCCCUUUACUGGGUGUGUUGGGGAACCAGGACGUUUACCUUGAGAAAAUUAGAGUGUUCAAAGCAGGCCUACGCCCGAAUACAUUAGCAUGGCAUAAUAAAAUAGGACGUGCGGUUCUAUUUUGUUGGUUUCUAGAGCCGCAGUAAUGAUUAAUAGGGAUAGUUGGG